Molecule: ribosomal RNA, 468 nt
Filed under: uncultured bacterium
Lineage: Bacteria
Description: partial 16S ribosomal RNA
Rfam family: Bacterial small subunit ribosomal RNA
Source: RNAcentral
GACGAACGCUGGCGGCGUGCUUAACACAUGCAAGUCGAACGGAAAGGCCCUGCUUUUGUGGGGUGCUCGAGUGGCGAACGGGUGAGUAACACGUGAGUAAACUGCCCUUGACUUUGGGAUAACUUCAGGAAACUGGGGCUAAUACCGGAUAGGAGCUCCUGCUGCAUGGUGGGCGUUGGAAAGUGUCGGCGGUUGGGGAUGGAUUCGCGGCUUAUCAGCUUGUUGGUGGGGUAGUGGCUUACCAAGGCUUUGACGGGUAGCCGGCCUGAGAGGGUGACCGGCCACAUGGGGACUGAGAGACGGCCCAGACUCCUACGGGAGGCAGCAGUGGGGAAUAUUGCACAAUGGGCGGAAGCCUGAUGCAGCAACGCCGCGUGCGGGAUGACGGCCUUCGGGUUGUAAACCGCUUUCGCAUGUGACGAAGCGUGAGUGACGGUAAUGGGUAAAGAAGCACCGGCUAACUACGUG